ACGACUGCUCCGCUUCCCUUCAUCUCCUUCUGCUCUGCCUCUCUGGGUGGCUGAUGGACGGGAUCAUGAGACUCGGGGUGACAGACUCUCGUGUCGCUUUGACACGUCUCUGACAAGAUGCCGAUGAGAACACGACGCUUCCAGGGAAAGGUGAGGACGGAGUUCACACCAGUGAUGAACCGACUGUUCACAUGGAACCAAAAGAACCGCACGAAGGGCGGAGAAGAUACGUCAUCAGGACUGUGACUGUUCUCCACCUCUUUCUCUCUGGUGAUG
Molecule: long non-coding RNA, 276 nt
Organism: Solea senegalensis (Senegalese sole)
Lineage: Eukaryota; Metazoa; Chordata; Actinopteri; Pleuronectiformes; Soleidae
Exons: 3
Source: RefSeq, a predicted model, not a curated record